GAUGAACGCUAGCGGCAGGCUUAAUACAUGCAAGUCGUGGGGCAGCAUGAGUAGCAAUACUUGAUGGCGACCGGCAAACGGGUGAGGAACACGUACACAACCUUCCUUCAAGCGGGGAAUAGCCCAGAGAAAUUUGGAUUAAUACCCCAUAAUAUAUUUGAUAAGGCAUCUUAUUAAUAUUAAAGCUUCGGCACUUGAUGAUGGGUGUGCGGCUGAUUAGAUAGUUGGCGGGGUAACGGCCCACCAAGUCUACGAUCAGUAGCUGAUGUGAGAGCAUGAUCAGCCACACGGGCACUGAGACACGGGCCCGACUCCUACGGGAGGCAGCAGUAAGGAAUAUUGGACAAUGGACGAAAGUCUGAUCCAGCCAUGCCGCGUGAAGGAUUAAGGUCCUCUGGAUUGUAAACUUCUUUUAUAUAGGGACGAAAAAAGGGCAUUCUUGUUCACUUGACGGUACCAUAUGAAUAAGCACCGGCUAAACUCCGUGCCAG
RNAcentral lists this ribosomal RNA (491 nucleotides) under uncultured bacterium. RNAcentral's name for it is "bacterial SSU rRNA". It matches the Rfam family "Bacterial small subunit ribosomal RNA", at positions 28 to 511 of the family's 1533-position model. The record is from RNAcentral.